Molecule: ribosomal RNA, 516 nt
Filed under: uncultured bacterium
Lineage: Bacteria
Description: bacterial SSU rRNA
Rfam family: Bacterial small subunit ribosomal RNA
Source: RNAcentral
GUUUGAUCCUGGCUCAGAUUGAACGCUGGCGGCAUGCCUUACACAUGCAAGUCGAACGGUAACAGGUCUUCGGAUGCUGACGAGUGGCGAACGGGUGAGUAAUACAUCGGAACGUGCCCAGUAAUGGGGGAUAGCUCGGCGAAAGCCGGAUUAAUACCGCAUACGCCCUGAGGGGGAAAGUGGGGGACCGCAAGGCCUCACGUUAUUGGAGCGGCCGAUGGCUGAUUAGCUAGUUGGUAGGGUAAAGGCCUACCAAGGCGACGAUCAGUAGCUGGUCUGAGAGGACGAUCAGCCACACUGGGACUGAGACACGGCCCAGACUCCUACGGGAGGCAGCAGUGGGGAAUUUUGGACAAUGGGGGAAACCCUGAUCCAGCAAUGCCGCGUGUGCGAAGAAGGCCUUCGGGUUGUAAAGCACUUUUGUCAGGGAAGAAAUCCUUUGGGCUAAUACCCUAGGGGGAUGACGGUACCUGAAGAAUAAGCACCGGCUAACUACGUGCCAGCAGCCGCGGUAAU